This 298-nucleotide long non-coding RNA is filed under the name Solanum tuberosum (potato). RNAcentral describes it as "long non-coding RNA (STUB_LNC002439)". Lineage: Eukaryota; Viridiplantae; Streptophyta; Magnoliopsida; Solanales; Solanaceae. The record is from RNAcentral.
UGCUAACUUACUUCCAUGCAGAUGCAACUCCACGUUGGCUAUUAUUUGAGGCAUUUGAUAUUUUUUUUAGAGGAGUUUGACUUUUGGAUAACUUAUUUCCAUGCAAAACUGGCAACCGCACUGGCUAUUAUUUGAGGCAUUGGCUAGUGUAUUCAUAGGGGUGGGGGGUCCCGGGUUCUCAUGGACCCAUUCUCCCAUCCCUAGAUCAUAUAAAGGAGUGUUAGAGUUUGUAAAAAUAUAAUUAAAUAUAGAUGUGUGAACUCACACUUACAUUGAUAAUUGGGUGCACCUAUCUGAG